ACGAACGCUGGCGGCGUGCCUAAUACAUGCAAGUAGAACGCUGAAGGAGGAGCUUGCUUCUCUGGAUGCGUUGCGAACGGGUGAGUAACGCGUAGGUAACCUGCCUGGUAGCGGGGGAUAACUAUUGGAAACGAUAGCUAAUACCGCAUAAUAGUAGAUGUUGCAUGACAUUUGCCUAAAAGGUGCAAUUGCAUCACUACCAGAUGGACCUGUGUUGUAUUAGCUAGUUGGUGGGGUAACGGCUCACCAAGGCGACGAUACAUAGCCGACCUGAGAGGGUGAUCGGCCACACUGGGACUGAGACACGGCCCAGACUCCUACGGGAGGCAGCAGUAGGGAAUCUUCGGCAAUGGACGGAAGUCUGACCGAGCAACGCCGCGUGAGUGAAGAAGGGUUUCGGAUCGUAAAGCUCUGUUGUAAGAGAAGAACGAGUGUGAGAGUGGAAAGUUCACACUGUGACGGUAUCUUACCAGAAAGGGACGGCUAACUACGUG
RNAcentral lists this ribosomal RNA (494 nucleotides) under uncultured bacterium. RNAcentral describes it as "partial 16S ribosomal RNA". It matches the Rfam family "Bacterial small subunit ribosomal RNA", at positions 29 to 507 of the family's 1533-position model. The record is from RNAcentral.